Molecule: ribosomal RNA, 281 nt
Filed under: uncultured bacterium
Lineage: Bacteria
Description: partial 16S ribosomal RNA
Rfam family: Bacterial small subunit ribosomal RNA
Source: RNAcentral
ACUCCUACGGGAGGCAGCAGUGGGGAAUAUUGGACAAUGGGCGAAAGCCUGAUCCAGCCAUGCCGCGUGUGUGAAGAAGGCCUUCGGGUUGUAAAGCACUUUCAGUGAGGAAGAAAGCCUUGAGGUUAAUACCCUUAAGGGAGGACAUCACUCACAGAAGAAGCACCGGCUAACUCCGUGCCAGCAGCCGCGGUAAUACGGAGGGUGCGAGCGUUAAUCGGAAUUACUGGGCGUAAAGCGCGCGUAGGCGGCUUGAUAAGCCGGUUGUGAAAGCCCGGCUG